CUUCUCUUGGAUUUAUUUACAAUCAAGAAGCAGCAAUUCUCGCCGUUAAUCACGCUCUUCGUGAUCCCUUCGUGUAAGUGCACCCUCCGUUCUUAUGGGCUGUCUUCGUCCUCCUCGUCACGCUCUGCCAUACAAAUUCUCCGUCGUCGUCUCUGUAAAUUCUUUCUUUUCUUUUCUUCUCAGCUUUGAUCCUGACUUGUUAAAU
This 205-nucleotide long non-coding RNA is filed under the name Ricinus communis (castor bean). Its description in RNAcentral is "long non-coding RNA (RCOM_LNC003651)". Lineage: Eukaryota; Viridiplantae; Streptophyta; Magnoliopsida; Malpighiales; Euphorbiaceae. The record is from RNAcentral.